RNAcentral lists this long non-coding RNA (523 nucleotides) under Glycine max (soybean). RNAcentral's name for it is "long non-coding RNA (GMAX_LNC003045)". Lineage: Eukaryota; Viridiplantae; Streptophyta; Magnoliopsida; Fabales; Fabaceae. The record is from RNAcentral.
GAAUUCUUCAGUGGAUUUGCUGACAUCUUUUGAGGGUGGUAGAAACAUGCUACCCCACUGUGGGAAGUGAACAACACUCACUGGUAGAGUGCAAGCCACUAUCAUUACACCCAUCAAGGAGAGACCUGUGGCAGUAGAGAAUUUGGAGGUUGAAAAGAAGACCAAUUGGGUGAGGCCAGACCCAAAGUUUCCACCUGCACCAGUUAGACCUGAUAUGAUCCCCAAAGACCUUCUUGAGAUGAAAGGAAUGAUGCCAAAAGUUGCACCACAUGCAGCUUGAGCUCCUAUAGAGAACAGGAUCAUGGCCAAUACAGCAAUAGGAAGAGAAUUGGCACGGCCAAGCCAAAUACAGAAAACCCCUCCUAAGGUUUGGAGGAUCCAAAGGGUCCAGAGUCUUCCCCUCAUGCCAAACAGCCUGGCUGCAACAUCUGAAGCAUAUCCACCAAAAGGUCGAGCAACUAAGUUUGCCAUUCCAAAUGAAGCAGCAAUGAUUCCAGCAGUGUGUAGCUUGAGAUUAAAUCUG